Long non-coding RNA from Oreochromis niloticus (Nile tilapia), 1620 nucleotides. RefSeq lists it as uncharacterized. NCBI's taxonomy places the organism in Eukaryota, Metazoa, Chordata, Actinopteri, Cichliformes, Cichlidae. The transcript has 4 exons. The record is from RefSeq and is a predicted model, not a curated record.
UUCACUUUCCUUAGAUCUUAGUUCAGUAUGGUCACACAGUUGAUCUGAAGUCAGAUCCCAGUGAUUUAAAUCCUAAAGACUUAGGCACACAGUUUGACAUGUUAUCAAAGGAAGGUCAACAUGAUUAAUUUUCUCUUUUUCUGUUGCCUAACAGGUGUAUGUCUGGGUGUUGAGGUCCGUCAGUCUCCCUCUGAGUUCAUCACAAAAGCUGGAUCCAAAGUGGAGAUUUUUUGCAGUCAUGAAAAGACUGACUACAGGAUGAUGCUCUGGUACCAGCAGCUGCCUGGAGAGACAGCUAUGAAACUCAUCGGGUGUUUGUCUGGGUGUUAAAGUUUCCCAAACACCUGUGGAAGUUUUCAGAAGACCUGGAGAAAAUGUCCAGCUGGUCUGCAGCCAUGAAAAGACCGACUACAUGCUCAUGCAGUGGUACCAGAAAUCCCCUGGAGACCAGGCUCUGAAGCGCAUUGGACAUUUAUAUUACAACAACAAAGAGCAUGAGGAAGUGUUUAAGACACAUUUUAAUAUUAGUGGAGAUUUGAGUGGAGAUAAAGCAAAGAACGCUUCUCUGUUUAUAGUGGACCUAAAGGCACCUGAGCACAGUGCAGUGUAUUACUGUGCAGCAAGCUAUGCACACUGAGAGGAAAACCCCUCCCUGUAAUACAAAAACUCAAAACCAUUGAAGUGGAUGGUUUUAAACUAACAUACUCCUCCCCACAUCUUGGUUAGAUCCCAGCCAGUAUAAUUUUCACUUCAAUUUUCUCCUCAAUGUCAAUCAGUCAAAGCCCAAUAUUUAGAUCCCUAAAAAACAUAAAUUGGAGGACAAUAUGAUCCCUAUUCUCUUUCUCUGUCUGACAGAUAAUACACUGUUUGCAUAAGAUAAGAUUAUCUAAAAGUGUAAAUGUUAUGAUUUAAGCAAAAUUGGGUUUUUUUAACGUUUCUACGAGUCUUGAGGUUCCGUCAGUCUCCCUUUGAGUUCAUCACAAAUGUUGGUUCAGAUGUUCUGCGGCCAUGAAAAGACUGACUACAGAGUGAUGCUCUGGUAACAGCAGCAGCCUGGAAAGAAAGAUAUGAAACACCUUUUCUUUAAACUUCAAAGUUGUCACAUUUGAAGACCAAUUCAUGAUCAUUUCAAUAUCACUGGAGAUUUGGGUGGGAAUAGAGCAAAAAAGGACCCUGUCCCUAAACAGCACGGCAAAUUUCAGAGCCUAUGAAGCUGUCACAGACAAAGAAAGAAAAUAACAGUGUGUACCACAAACACAGAAACACUAUUUAUUUACAUGAGGUGGCCGUAUGUCUGCAUGUCUGCCCAUUUUCCUGGUGGGAGGGUUUAACAAGAAAUGAGAUAUGAAUAAUCAGCAGAACUGAAUAUACAGUUAUGAAAGCACAGAGAACAUAACAGUGGUGUUCCUGAGUUUAGUUAUGCAAACCAACAUGGUAAUUACUUUCUUCUGCAUAAGCCUUAACAUUAUCCUCGUGUCAGGUUCUUCACUCAGUGACCAAGUCCACCAGGAUCCAUCUGAUAUUUAUAGAAUUCAAGGAGAAACAGCAGAAAUCACCUGUUCACACAAUAUAGACAGCUAUAAUAUAAUCCUCUGGUACAAGCAAACAAAAAACAACCAA